UGCUCCUGUUCAUUUCGCGAGCAGAGAGAAAACGUUGUCUGCUGCGAGUAAUGGAAGGCGAAGGUGGAGGUGGAGAUCGGUGGGAGCCUCCACAGGGCGAGAGAAGUAAGAUCUCUCCUCUCUCUCCCCUUCUUCUCCUCCUCCUCUCCUCCUCCUCUCCUUAUCUUUCUCUUUCCAGAGUCGUCUUCUCCGUCGUACUUGUUUCCGAUCUUGCAUUUGAACGCAAGAACUGGAGGGAAUCUAGGGCUUCCAUCCGAUCUAGGGUUUCUUCGAUCUAUUGUUCAUCUCUAGAUCUCUUCUUGAGAUUAUAUAGUGAAGGGCCGUUAUGAUCGUUGAUAUCUCGAUGUCGUGUUUAAUAAGGGGAAAUCAGCUUCGAUCGAACAAAGAAACCCUACGAUCGGGGAAAUCAGUUUCGAUCGAACAAAGAAACCCUACAAUCGUUGAUCUCCUGAUCCUCUCUUUAUUGUAAUCGGUUUCAAUUCGCACUAGAAUUCUAAUGUUGUGUUUAACUUUUUAUGUUGUUUCAAUUUAGCGUGGAACGACUGCAAUGAUCGUUGAUCUUUCAACGCCUAGUUUUGGAUGAUCAAAUCCGUUUCAAUCCAGCUUAGCGUUUAUACGUUUAAUGACCUAUGGAGGUGAUGAAAUUGAUUUCGAUCCUGUUGCAUAGCUUAUGUUUAGGUCCUUUUUUAAGACAAGCUUAAAAGCGCUGGAAACCGCUGCAACGAUCUCUGAUCUCUUGCUCCCUCGUUUUGGAUGGUGAAAUCUUGCUUGCUUCCUUGUUUGUUUUCGUCCACGAAGUUGCCAAAUCUCCAUUGAAGAGCUGAUGCUGUGUAUUUCUAUACUAGCUGGUCAUUGUAUCUUCUGAUGAUGUAUGUACACAACAACAAUUCAUAAACAAUUGCACGCUUCAGGUAAUAAACAUUACCCUCGAAUCAAUUUUGAGAGGGUGGUGGCUCAAAAUCAUUUUGGUUUUCUUGUAUUACAAGUUCCUGUUGACAGUACAACUUUGAUGUCUAUCAAAGGUCCUGUUAAUUAUAGGCGUGUGCAAUGGCAGAUAUGGCGAUGGCAGGUAUUUUGUGGGAGUGAGUGUGACAUUUAUCUUAUGCUAUCUCUAUAUUCAUUAUCUUUCUAGUUAUUCAUAUGCUAUUUGUUUUAAUGAAUCUUUUAUGUGUGUUAAAGUUUUAUAACAGAAACCGUAUUCAUGCAUCAAUUAGUGUGACAAUUCAUUAGCAGAGUGUAUCAAUGAUUCUAUAUUAGAUACCUAUCCUUACCACUCAUCACUGUCAUCAUUGUACAUAUUGACUAGCCAGAAUUGAUCGAUGAAAUACCUAAAAACUUUCAAAUUGUUAGCUAAGAUGAGUUUGAAUAAUAAGCUAUAAAGUCAAUACUUGAGAAGUAUUCAUGAAUACAUAGGAGUGAAUACGUGGGAGAAGGGUGUAUCAUAACUCUUGAUCUUUAAAUCAAAAGACUGAAUGUCUAAAUUAUCUAUUGUUUUGUGUGCGCUAAAUUUGGACGAUGAUAUUUUAGUCAAUUGUCGAAUGGAUUGCAGUUAGUAAUUUUGUUGCUCAUCAUUUCUAGGUUUGAUUGCUCCUUUGUCUUUUUCUGCAGGUGUUAAUUUUGAUUUCAGCAACGGAGCUGCUGAUUCCCUUUCAGAGAGCUGCUGCUGCUGCGUAUAUUCUAAACAAGCUAAUUUCCUUUCUUAUAUUCUUCCUAGGAUGUUGAUAUGUAUAAAAUUGCAAUUCAAGAACAGUUGCACCAUCCAGGUAAUAAACAUCACCCUAAAGUGUACAUGUUCUUUCAUUUGCAAGAGAUGGGUAGCACAGUUAGGAGGACUGUUUGUUUUGAAGUGGUGCUGAUGGUUCUUGCGUGAAUGUGUACCAGGACUUUGACUUGUGGCUUUUUGCUGAUUAUUAAGAUAAGGGGCUUAAUAGAUUUAGGCAUAUUACCUUCAAAAGAAUGAUGUUAUUUAUGUCUAAACUCUAUAUUUUGUCACUUAGAUCACCUAGGUACAUCAAAAUGGAAGAGUUUUUCUGUUUGUGCUUCCAUACCAACAUUAAAUUGUUUGACUAUAUCUAAUUGUAAUUCAGAACACAUAUUGUCUUGAUUCUCUUGAAGGACUUGAUAUACGGCUGUCACAGGGACCCAAUUUCCUUAAAAUGCCCCUGUUGCAGGAAAUCAUAGAAUUGUACUUCAUAACUAGUAUGACCUUAACCUUAGAUAGCAUUUAUUCCAAAUAGCUAGCUGUCGCUCUCUGUUUCUCUCUUUUUUGGGAUCCAUCAUCUGUGUCAACUAUAUAGGAAAUAUAUAAUAUUGGUUAGAUGACAACAUCAUUAGAUGUCGAUUUCCAAGGUUUUUAGUAGGCUGAUGGUCUUCUAUGCCUCAAGUGACACCACUCCUCACGACUAGGGAUCUUGAGUUGUAAUUGUGAGCAGGAAGGUUCAGGCUUCUCCACAUUAAUUUCACUGUAAUUAAAUAUAGAUGUCUGACUAGUCUUUUAUUUACAUCUCUCUACGCAUAUUGAAUUAUUCUUGUGUUAUGGGCUUGAGGCUGAGGGUUUUAAUUGUGCAUAAUUAGCAGGUAACGUGCUGUGUGCACGUCUGUUGCGGUCGAAUAGGAUUUGGGAUACAUUUCAAGAGGCCAUCCUAUAUAUUGACUCAGAUUAUUGGGGUUUUUUUUCUACUGUAGAAUCUCUCCUACUUGUCUGUAGCUAUCUCUUAGUCACAAUGAUCUUUGGAUUGGUUAUUUUUGCUCGUAAGCUUCAUUUUUGGACCCUUAGAAUGAAUCUUCCGACUAGUGAUUGAUUUUCACAUGCCCCUGGUUAAUGAUUCAAACUAAUAUGCUAAUAAUUUUUGCCUGUUCUUUGAGCUUUGAUAUCGACACCCAUGGAUUUCAGGUGCUGACGAUCUGCCGUCUGUGCCGGCUGUGCUGUGCUGCACUGUGCCAGUGUCAGUGCCUAACUGAUUUGUACAAUGCCCAUAUUGCGAUUAUCGCUGAUGCUGCUCUAUGCGGCUUGAUGCAUCUUGAUACCGCAUUUAAAACGUUGUGCGGUGCCUUAGAGUGUUGUGAUUUACCCUUUGCUGCUGCCGAUCGCUGCGCCAUCACACUGCCCGUUGCCUCCGCCAUAUUUAUCACCUUGCCCCGCUGUACCAUAACGGGAAAAAAAACUUGUACCAGGGAAAGGUGAAGAGAUUGAUUGGAAACCUAAUCUCAAAAGUAGGUUCUUUUUUUUUUUUAACUUUUGGAUUGCAGGCUUAAAUGAAACCUCACUAGAAUGGGGCUUAUACAGACAUGGCUUCAAAAUGAAGUCUUGAUAUCAGGCACAAUCUGACCCAUUAAGUGUUCUUCUCGGCUAUCAGCCUCUGCGUCGUCAAAGCCCUAAAAUCAGAUUACUUCACAUUGCUGUUGAGAUUCCAUAUUGGGAUUUGACAUUUGCGUCUAUUUCGAGAUUUGCCGCCCUUGACCAGCCAGAGCACUGUCAGCAUUUCCGCUGCUUCUGAGCAGCAUGUCCCACAUGCCCACACAUCUGCGCUGCAAUGUGAGGUGCUGAGCCAUGCCAACCAGAGCUCAGCAUGGCCUACUUGAGUUUUAACGUAGCCUUGCUCACUAUGUCUCUUGGUUUGAUGGAUCCCACUAGGUACAUAUUCCUUGAAGGUACUGAAAGAAGACCAGAAAGGGCAUCAUCUACCAGGUAUUAUGCUUCAACACAAUUUGAUUGCACUGAUACAUAAACAAUUUCUCCUGAUUCCAAUGAUUUGGAUUUUCCUUUGAACAUGGAUUUUGACCACAGUGAUCUUAAGUCUAGGGUUCUUCUUAUGACUAUGAUAAGCUAAUCAGGUCUCUAAAGUAAUGUCAACCGCCAGCUGCAGUGAUGAUCCUUUUCUCCCAAUGCGAAACAAAAUGAACAAAACUAUGCGAAACAACCAUAAUCUCGUUCAUCUUACAUAGAAUCGGUAUCUCUGCCCUGUGCAGAAAAACUAUGACGAAGCAGGUUUGUAUUCUUGCUUAGCUCACAUACUGACAGUACUUCCAUUUGCUGGAAUGUAUUAUUGAUGGACACCUAUUUAACCUCCAAGCAUGCUAUAACUAGUCUUACAAGAUUUUACUUGAAGUACUGAUUCAUUUUGUUUUGUUUGUGAUUCUUAGAUUUACCAUCAUUCAUACUCUGCCGGUGGACUAUCACAAAAGGUUCUAAGUUCUAGCACAUGUGAAUGGCAAAGUGGUAAGACAAAAAAUGCAUGACUGGAAGAUCAAAAUGGGUAUCAAUGUACGAGGUAGUACACCGUGUCACAAUCUGAGCUUGUUCUACAUUCGGUACUUCAAGAAUGUUUGUAAUAUUCGGGGAAUCCUCCAUAUUUUCUACUCAAAAUAUUCAAAUCGUCACUCUUCAACUCUAGUUGGGAAAUUGUAAGAGGUGUGGGUGAAGUUGUGAAAUCAUCAUAGGUUCCCCACUAGUAGGAAUAUUACAAGGUUAGUUGGUCAACAAACUAGCCAUUCCAAGUAUAAAAUAUAUAACAUUCCUGCAAUGCUAUCGACCGGUAAAACGAGCGAGCCCUCAAGAAUAUAUCCAAGUCUUAUGUACAAAAUUCCCAGCUGGAAUGGAUUGCUACAAAUUGUAUUUGAUGCUUUCUGCAUUAGUGUCACCCUGACAUGGUGCCCUUGGGGUUGUCUCGUGCAUGCUGAUUUUUUAAGGCACUGAGGUUCAGGAUGGCGGACAAUACAAUACAUUAUCUCACGACUGAAGAGAAAGAGAAGAGAGAUCCAGAGAUGGUCGAGUUGUAAUCAUAUCAGACUCGGAUUGAGCCAGGUGAGACUCGUAACAUUUGACCAGGUGGUACAACUUUUCUGAAUCAUAACUACUCUUACUAAUAACUGAAGAGAACAAGAGAAGAGAGAGCCAGAGAUGAUCGAGUUCUCAUCAGAUCAGGCUCAGAUUGAGCUAGGUGAGACUUGUAACCUUUGAUCAGGCUAUACAAUUACUUAUCUCAAUACUUUAUCCAAGAUUUCACCUCAUUCAGAAUCUUUUAAGUUUUGACUUUUAAAUCACCUAGCACCAAUUAUAUUUCCUCAAAAGUUUUGUUUAUUCGGAUGGAAAUUGAGACUUUAGCGUCAAUUGAUGUCCAACACGUGGAAACUUAUCUAUUGGGUCUUUGAUGGAAAGAUCUUGAUUGAAACAACUAAAAAAAUCUGUUCAAAAUCUGAUUGCAAAAAUUAGAAUGUUGGGUGCUAGGAUAAAAACUCGAGGCUAAAAACACCAGUCACAGAUAGGCCUAAAUACUGUUGAAAUCAUCUCUAGCAAUGUUAUCUAAUUCCUGUGGAAUAGGGUUUGAUGCGGUUUUGUUUAGGUCCUAUAUAUUUUUCGUUGCAACUUGUGAAAUUACCAAAUUUAAACAAGGUCUAUUGGUAAAAUUAAUGGACAGAUUUUAUGUUUGACUCAUAAUUUUUCUUUCUGAGGAAUUUGCUAUUCCAUUUAAAGCAAUGCAACCUAUACACCCAAAAAGUGGUGUGAGAUUCACACUCUCCCAUCCAAGGGUUUGUGCUGUAAGUAGCAUUUCUCUUCUAUUUAUUGCAUUGCAGUGUAUAUUUGCACCUAUUUUUAUUCCCAUGCUUCAAAGUACUGUUAGAAGAUUUGUGCCUAUUAUUUUGAUUUUUCUUUAUUUUUGGUUCUAGUCUCUGGUUCUUAGAGGUUUUAAAGUUUGCAGAUUGUUCCAAAAAAUUGAAGUUUGAUAGAGAUAUUCGAGCUAUUAUUAUUGUUGCACUAUCCUGAUUUCAUCAAAGCUUUUUAUUGUUUUUAAUUUUUCUGCUUAUGAUCUAAUUCAUGCAAAUAUAAAUUGUAAAAAUUAAAGGUACACUCCUGCUGAAUCACUGAGUCUGCAUUUAGUUCUGUUGCUCCUCCUCACUAUUUAUACAACACUAUCUUCACUAGCUUAAAUCAAACGCCAAUUUUCUCAAAUUCAAACAUUAGUUACAUAUGCUUCUAUAUUAUCAUUCUGUAUUAUCUGUUAGUUCUUGUAACAAGGAAGUAAGAGUUUAGUUAGUUGAUGCAGUUUCUUCUUGAUCCUUGUUAUUUGUCUGCUUUUUGUUCUAUGUUUUUUGCUCCUAAUCCUUACAAUCACCCCUGCCUGUUAUUCUAAAGGUAUAAUGUUUGGAUAGGCUGCAACUGAAAUGUAAUGCCUGUAGAAAAGGAGGUGAGUCGUCAUUUGGAGGUUUCCGAAGUGGUGAAUCAUCAUUUCGAGGUUUCCUUUUAAGUUUUUAGCUUGCCUUUUCUCCUUUCUGAAGUCCAUUUGGAGGUUUCCUUUUAAUUUUUUAGCUUGUGCAUAUACUUUUCUUGAUGGUAUUAGUAAGUACAUAUAUCAGUACGUGAACAGUUGCAGUCUGCUGGCGGUUGACAACUAAACAUCACCCUGGAAUUUGAUGCUCUCUCCCCCCCCCUCCCUGUAAUGCCACUUACCUCAUCUUAAAAACUAGCAGAGCUAGGACCGACAUUCAUAGAGGAUGCAAUAUACGAUACCUUAGGAUUAAACAAAUACCUUAGGAUUAAACAAAUAAUAAAGCUAAAUCUUCCUAUCCAUAAAAAUGUGGUCGUUUCCUUUGAUUUGGGUUCGAAUAUUUUUAUAAUAAUGCAAGGGUUAUGGUCUAGAGGCUUUUAGUUCGAAGGAGUAUUUCAUUUAUUCUUUUGCAAGGAUCUCUCAGGCUAUAACUAGGUGCUUCUAUCUUAGAAGAGCAUUCAAAGGCAGAUCUAAUAAUGGCUUUUAAUGGUUGUAUUUUGGUUAAAGCAAGCAUGUCUUAACAGAGCAUACAAAGACAGAUCUAGUAAUAGCAGGUAUGGUUGUAUUUUGGUUAGAGCAAGAAUGUCAUUAUCUGUUGUGCCAUCUCUAAAUUCAUUCCCUAUUAAUUAUUCAUACUUAUUCUGCCAAUCGUAGAGUAGUUUAUAUAGAAUGUAAAAUUAUAUACAGAAUAUGAUUUAUGGUUGAAGUAUAUUUUGGUCUCAAGCAUGUAAGAAUGCAUAUCUUAAUCUAACCCCUUAGUUUCUGGGACACUACAACUUACUGUUGUUUUAUUCUAAAUGCCCUUGUAAUUGGAUGACUUGUCUUAUAUCAUGUGAAAACAUUGUAUUUGCCACGUAUUAUUUGGAUUGGGAUUUAUUCUUGGUCCUCCAUAACUUCUGUAUUUUUCGAUUUUCUGACCCGCUUUGUUUUCUUUACUUGGGGGGCCCUUACUAAAAACAAUUUUCAAGUAUUCCUCUUUUCUUAGUGUAAUCAUAGCAUGCUCUGAGAGGUAAAAGCUGAUUGAUCAAUGUAAGAAGAUGGAGGUGACACAAACUUCCUAAUUCAGGGAGCCCUCUUUAGCCCUCACCAGAUUUUACAUCUGGAUUCUUCGCCUUUCCAAUGAUGGAUCCACCUGGUUGUCAAUGAUCUCCUGGGGACCUAUUCGUACUAAUUUCAUUGACAGCCUGUAACUAUUGUUCAUCUUGCUGUUUCCUUCUAUUUUCUUCCUGCUUGUUUCCUCAUAUAGGCAUCACUGCACCACUCUGCGCACACAUAGGUUAUAGGUGUGAGGUAGAGUAAAUGAUGUUACACAGAAAGCCUUCGUUGGCGUAGGGCCCAUUCAUACCACGAUUAUUACUCGAGAUCAGAAAUAAAAACAAAGGAUGGGAACAUGUACUCUCCAGUACAGGUGCUCUGGUGCUUCUUUCAAUGUC
Molecule: RNA transcript, 7699 nt
Organism: Ananas comosus (pineapple)
Lineage: Eukaryota; Viridiplantae; Streptophyta; Magnoliopsida; Poales; Bromeliaceae
Exons: 7
Source: RefSeq, a predicted model, not a curated record